GGCAAAAUGCAUUAUAUAUAUAUAUAUAUAUUGUCUUCAAAAUAGCGCUUACUGAAUAUUAGGGUAACAUUUUCCUCCAUGUUAGCAAAUCGAAAAAAAGCAGAGGCCCGGAAGAGUGGAGGGGGUCCACCUCUGCAGCCCUCACAGAGGCUGAGGAGAUGGCCCUCAGACAACAGAGUAUGCGUCCUGUGGCUGAGGGCAUCCCUGGGGGGAGCUCCUCUGAUCCCCCCCCCACCCCCCAGGAUAGAAGUGCCUUUAUAAGAGUUACUGAUGGCGUCAUCGCCCUACUUGAACCAGAUGCCCUCACCAACCUCCAUGCAAUUGUAACAAUUCAAAAUAUGCAAAAGGAUGCUUUGGAGAUCCACAUUUUGGAACAUAAGUUAAAGGUGAGUGAGGUGCAAACUGGGAUACUGUUCCCUGCUCUAAAAACAUACCCGAUAUGAAUGACUUUUUUUGUGCUUUCAGGAAACAAAGAAAUCCUCAUAAAAAGUAGAUUGUCUUUAUUAGAACACGGGCUGUGGUGGGACAAGUUAUUUUGUUGAACAGUUUACUCAAAGGGUUUUACUUCAGUGAACAAUGCAGACGAUUAUGCUGAGCAUGUGCAUGUAGAGAAGAAGAGACACUAUCUGGUUAAAAGCAGUAGGCCUACCAGGGUCCUUUCUGCCUUGCAUUCUUAAAAUUAGUUUCUUGACUUGCAGCAGUUAUAGGUCCGUGGUUAGUCAGCUACUCUGAUCAUGGGAAAGCCACAACGUUAAAGUGACUGUAGUACAGAGCGGGUGGGAUGCACGGGGCGGAUCAUUCUGCACAUGCGUUAAUUGCGUAAAAAAACCCAACUUAAACUUAAAGCAUGCCCCCGGUGCGUUUGACAGUUAACAUGGGGACUGAGAAGGUGGUCUAAAUAAAUGAUA
Long non-coding RNA from Gadus macrocephalus (Pacific cod), 908 nucleotides. RefSeq lists it as uncharacterized. The transcript has 2 exons. NCBI's taxonomy places the organism in Eukaryota, Metazoa, Chordata, Actinopteri, Gadiformes, Gadidae. The record is from RefSeq and is a predicted model, not a curated record.